UUCGGGGUACACGAGCGGCGAACGGGUGAGUAACACGUGAGUAAUCUGCCCUUCACUCGCGGAUAAGCCUCGGAAACGGGGUCUAAUACGUGGUGUACACGGCUGCCUGCAUGGGUGGUGGUGGAAAGCGCUUUAGCGGUGGGGGAUGUGCUCGCGGCCUAUCAGCUUGUUGGUGGGGUAAUGGCCUACCAAGGCUUCGACGGGUAGCCGGCCUGAGAGGGUGACCGGCCACACUGGGACUGAGACACGGCCCAGACUCCUACGGGAGGCAGCAGUGGGGAAUAUUGGACAAUGGGCGGAAGCCUGAUCCAGCAACGCCGCGUGAGGGAUGACGGCCUUCGGGUUGUAAACCUCUUUCAGUGUCGACGAAGCCACGUUUUGGCGUGGUGACGGUAGGCGCAGAAGAAGCACCGGCCAACUACGUGCCAGCAGCCGCGGUAAUACGUAGGGUGCGAGCGUUGUCCGGAAUUAUUGGGCGUAAAGGGCUCGUAGGCGGUUUGUCGCGUCGGGAGUGAAAACACGGGGCUUAACUCUGUGCUUGCUUCCGAUACGGGCAGACUAGAGGGAUGCAGGGGAGAACGGAAUUCCUGGUGUAGCGGUGGAAUGCGC
This 609-nucleotide ribosomal RNA is filed under the name Nocardioides lentus. RNAcentral describes it as "bacterial SSU rRNA". It matches the Rfam family "Bacterial small subunit ribosomal RNA", at positions 81 to 691 of the family's 1533-position model. Lineage: Bacteria; Bacillati; Actinomycetota; Actinomycetes; Propionibacteriales; Nocardioidaceae. The record is from RNAcentral.